GUUCUUCACAGAGCCCUCUUCUCUAGACUAAAGAGUCCCGUUCUUUCUUUACAGUGCAUAUUCUCCUGUGGACACCCAGGGGUUGCUGCCCUCCUAGAAGACUGCUCCUACAACUGACAAAAUGCCCAGGAAAAGGAAAAAAAUAUGUCAGCCAUGGCAGUAGAUCCAAGGUGCAAAUUUUUUUUCUACUCUUGGAAUCUUACCUGAGUGGGGUUAUCAGAGUCAGCUUUAAAAGGUCUGUCCCAGGUGACACCAGCAGUGCUUGGCCAGAAGACCUGGAUGUCCUUCACAUUUCUGGCUGCAAGAAAAGAAGAAACAAAGUGGAGGCAUGGGAAUGGUUCAGGAUCCCUCUGUGAAGAAAACAAGGCCCUAACUAAAGAAAUCAUUCAUAGGUCCUGGAUUGGUUCAGCUGAGCAGCUGCCCAUGCUGUAGAAAAAACUGGUGUUAUCUGACUUGAAUCGCUCACAGAAGGAAUGCCAGCCUCCCCAGAAGGUCAUGGGGGAGAGAGCAAGGAUCGAAGGGAAGGAGAACAAUGAAGAUCACUGAGAUUGUGGCCAAGCUCCUCAAUAAAUACCAGAGCCAGGUGGCAUGGACUGGGUUGCGCACACACUGUUUGGGGAGAGCUCCCUGCAGAGUUACAUAGCAUUUUGUUCUCUUUUGGGCAUCACAGGGUCUCACGACAUCAUUAUUUUUGUGUAAUUUUUUUCUGUUCAAAGAUUCUGGAAAAUCUGGGAGGGCUUUGUUGCUGCCAGUUACUGAAAUGUUUUGCAGCAUGAAAUUGAAGGUUUUUGUUACACA
This 798-nucleotide long non-coding RNA is filed under the name Corvus moneduloides (New Caledonian crow). RNAcentral's name for it is "lncRNA (ENSCMUG00000017158.1)". Lineage: Eukaryota; Metazoa; Chordata; Aves; Passeriformes; Corvidae. The record is from RNAcentral.